Molecule: ribosomal RNA, 449 nt
Filed under: uncultured bacterium
Lineage: Bacteria
Description: partial 16S ribosomal RNA
Rfam family: Bacterial small subunit ribosomal RNA
Source: RNAcentral
GUCGAGAAUCUUUCACAAUGGGGGCAACCCUGAUGGAGCGACGCCGCGUGGAGGAUAAGGUCUUCGGAUUGUAAACUCCUGUCAUGCGUGAACAAGGUUGCUUGGUUAAUACCUGGGCAAAUUGAUGGUAACGCAAGAGGAAGAGACGGCUAACUCUGUGCCAGCAGCCGCGGUAAUACAGAGGUCUCAAGCGUUGUUCGGAAUCACUGGGCGUAAAGGGUGCGUAGGUGGCGUGGUAAGUCAGAUGUGAAAGCCCGGGGCUCAAACUCGGAACUGCAUCCGAUACUGCCAUGCUAGAGUACUGGAGAGGUGACUAGAAUUCUCGGUGUAGCAGUGAAAUGCGUAGAUAUCGAGAGGAAUACCAAAGGCGUAGGCAGGUCACUGGACAGUUACUGACACUGAGGCACGAAGGCCAGGGGAGCGAACGGGAUUAGAUACCCGAGUAGUCC